CAGUCGCCGCGGUAAUACGAGGGGGGCAAGCGUUGUUCGGAAUUAUUGGGCGUAAAGCGUGCGUAGGCGGCUUCUUAAGUCGGAUGUGAAAUCCCUGAGCUUAACUUAGGAAUUGCAUUCGAUACUGGGAAGCUAGAGUAUGGGAGAGGAUGGUAGAAUUCCAGGUGUAGCGGUGAAAUGCGUAGAGAUCUGGAGGAAUACCGAUGGCGAAGGCAGCCAUCUGGCCUAAUACUGACGCUGAGGUACGAAAGCAUGGGGAGCAAACAGGAUUAGAUACCCCUGUAGUCCCUGUCUCUUAUAC
This 301-nucleotide ribosomal RNA is filed under the name uncultured bacterium. Its description in RNAcentral is "partial 16S ribosomal RNA". It matches the Rfam family "Bacterial small subunit ribosomal RNA", at positions 509 to 807 of the family's 1533-position model. The record is from RNAcentral.